Non-coding RNA from Danio rerio (zebrafish), 1683 nucleotides. NCBI's taxonomy places the organism in Eukaryota, Metazoa, Chordata, Actinopteri, Cypriniformes, Danionidae. The record is from RefSeq and is a predicted model, not a curated record.
CCGCUGGUGUGUGUGUACGCGCGCGCUCUCCAUGCAACACUGAACGGAGCGUGUGUGAAGCAGCAGGCGGAGGCGGCGCUCAGGUCACCUGUGCUGAACACCUGGAACACCUGUCAGAAAUUCAUACAGCAGGCGGAGAGGUGUGGAGCAUCAGCCGAGGAGCGUCUGCAGGUUCAUCAGCGUGCAGUGGAGACUCUGGGCCUCGCCUGUUACACACCAGGAGCGUUCAGCAGCCUCUUCUAUCUGGCCUACAGUUUUCAUGAUGACGUGGUGGAGGGAAUCCUGGCCAACACCAACUGUGGAGGGGAGAACUGUAACCGUGGAGCAGCAUUAGGAGCUCUUCUGGGUGCGCGGGCGGCUCACAUCGGCUCCUCCGUCCCUCAGCACUGGAAGAGCGGCCUGCUGGACACACAACAACACACUGUUCACGACAUCCUGCACAAUCUCAACACACACACUCCUGUCUGACACACUUCUGAUAUCUGUGUGUGUGUGUGUGUGUGUGUGAGAGAGAGAGAGAGAGCAUGUGUGUGAGUGUGAGAAAGACUGUAAUUGUCUGAAUGUGUAGUGUGUGAGCGUGUGUGAAUAUGAGUGUGUGCACAUGUGUGAGAGUGAGUGUGUAAGUGUGUGCGUCUGAGUACGAGAGUGUAUGUAAAUGUGUGUGUGUGUGUGUGCUGCAGGAAGUUCUGCCCACACGUGUGGUUUCCCGCCUGCUCUGUGUUGGUGUUUCUCUUCUUCUGUGUUUCUGUGACCCACUUGCAGAACACACACGUUCAUUAGCUGACGUCAGUGUGUGUGUGUGUGUGUGUCAGAGAAGCAGGAUUGUAAUCUCCACACACUGUAGAAAUGUCCAUAAAUGAGCAGUUAACUGUGUUUUGUUGUUAUUUUCCUUCAUUAUUGUUAUUAUUAUUUAUUUAUUUAUUUCUGCUCGUGUGUGUAGUAUAGUGUGUGCAGUGCUGUAUUGUGUGUGUUGGUGUUGUAUAUUACACUACAGAAAGCUUGUAAUAAACUGCAGCACAUUUACUGCAGUUUUACACACUUAUUCCUCCAGAUAUUAUUGAUUAUACAUUAUAUUAUUACUCAAAUGUCUAUAAAAGUCACUUUGUUAAACUGUAGAGUUGAAUUUACAACAUCAGAAGUGGACAGAGCAGAUCAACAUCCCAUAAUGCAGUUCAGCACCACACAUAAACACUAAACACAGAAUACAGAAGCUGCUCACUACUGGAUAUCGUCUACAGUGUGUGUGUGUGUGUGUGUGUGUGUGUGUGUGUGUGUGUGUGUGUGUGUGUGUGUGUGUGUGUGUGUGUGUGUGUGUGAUUAAUAUCAAUGUUUUGAAAUCCAGCAUUCAUCUUUAUUGAUUGUCUCCCUGCUCUGUCUGUAACUGAACUGCUGUAUAUGUCAUGCGUGCAGACGCUGCUGUAGCUGAUCUUCUGCAGUUCAGUCUGUUGUGUUGUGAAUAGAUAAGCUGAAGUGCUGUGAUAUUUAGAUUUUUCUGUAUCAUUAAAUGCAGUUGUAAUCCUGCAUUCAUAUUUAUUCCUUUUAUAGGGCAUUCGAUCUUUAAACAGCAUUCACAUCAUAACAGUCUCAAUUCUGUUGUUUAUUAAUAUUGUUAUUUGCAUGAACUAUUGCACAUUACAGUGUGGAGGCAUAUAUAAUAAAUGAUCUUUAGCUAUAAAUGAGCUG